RNAcentral lists this long non-coding RNA (580 nucleotides) under Homo sapiens (human). Its description in RNAcentral is "HSALNT0369486". The record is from RNAcentral. Lineage: Eukaryota; Metazoa; Chordata; Mammalia; Primates; Hominidae.
AUCAGAGUCAAGUAAAUAAGUUCCUCCUUCACAGGUGUUUUCUUUAAACUGGCCAAGCCACAACCCCCACAGGAGAACCUACAGAAUAAGGCCCAUGGACCCUACUUAAAGGCAGAGUCCCACAGCCCCGCCCUCUCUUGCUGGCUCUCUACCGCCUCCAGACUUCCUAUCCACCUCCACUGGGCGCCACUAACCUCUCUGGGUCUGUAUCAGAAGAGUAACUGGCUCACUGGAUUCCCUCUGCCUAGACUACCCUUCCCCUUAUUUUCAUAUUGCUAAUCCUCUUACCUCAUUCAAGUCUUUUCUCAAAUGUCCUUUAAAUGUGGUCUACCAUGGCCAUCAUAUUUAAAAUGUAAACCCUUAGCCCAUUUAAGAUGUCCAUGAUUUUCUUCUAUUGUACUCUAUUUUUGCUCCUUACCGUAUCUUAUCCACAAGGAUACUAUGUAGUUUACAUAUUCAACUGUCUAACCUUAGUCCUUCUGAGAUAAAAGAAGCUCCACCAUAGAACAGGGAUUCUUCUAUGUUUGUUCAGUGUAGGAUAAUUAACACGUAGUGUAUAUUCUGUAAAUAUUCACUGGAA